AGACGCCUAGUUUAUAUAGAACGUUGUCUUGUGGCGACAGAGGAAGCUGGUGCUGCCGUCUA
This 62-nucleotide transfer RNA is filed under the name Tridacna derasa. RNAcentral's name for it is "tRNA-His". The record is from RNAcentral. Lineage: Eukaryota; Metazoa; Mollusca; Bivalvia; Cardiida; Cardiidae.